RNAcentral lists this small RNA (462 nucleotides) under uncultured Microcystis sp. RNAcentral's name for it is "bacterial LSU rRNA". The stretch from base 1 to 103 matches the Rfam family "Bacterial small subunit ribosomal RNA", at positions 1431 to 1533 of the family's 1533-position model. Lineage: Bacteria; Bacillati; Cyanobacteriota; Cyanophyceae; Chroococcales; Microcystaceae. The record is from RNAcentral.
UACCUCAACCGCAAGGAGGGGGAUGCCUAAGGCAGGGCUAGUGACUGGGGUGAAGUCGUAACAAGGUAGCCGUACCGGAAGGUGUGGCUGGAUCACCUCCUUAAAGGGAGACCUAAUUCCGGUAGGAGACGAAAAAAAAGUAGUCCCAACCAAGAAUCAAUCCCAAAAGGUCGGAGCGAGGCGAAAUUGGCUUUCAAACUAGGUUCUGGGUUCACACAAGACCUGAAUCAGGAACAAGGGCUAUUAGCUCAGGUGGUUAGAGCGCACCCCUGAUAAGGGUGAGGUCCCUGGUUCGAGUCCAGGAUGGCCCACCUGUACAGGUGGAAGAAAGAAAAGAAGCUCCGAAUCAGCACCUUAUCUUACUUAUAUAGUAAGAGAGAAUGCUGGCUCUGAGUUCAGAGUCCAGAGGAACCUUGAAAACUGCAUAGAGCUAGGUGAAAAAGCCAAAAAAGAAGACCGCCA